UCCGGCUUAUCACCGGCAGUCCCCUUAGAGUGCCCAACUAAAUGAUGGCAACUAAGGGCGAGGGUUGCGCUCGUUACGGGACUUAACCCAACAUCUCACGACACGGGCUGACGACAGCCAUGCACCACCUGUAUAGGACCCUUACGGACCCCCCAUCUCUGGAGGAUUUCCCUAUAUGUCAAACCCAGGUAAGGUUCUUCGCGUUGCAUCGAAUUAAUCCGCAUGCUCCGCCGCUUGUGCGGGCCCCCGUCAAUUCCUUUGAGUUUCAAUCUUGCGAUCGUACUUCCCAGGUGGGAUACUUAAAGCGUUAGCUGCGCCACUAGUGAGUAAACCCACUAACGGCUGGCAUUCAUCGUUUACGGCGUGGACUAC
RNAcentral lists this unclassified non-coding RNA (372 nucleotides) under uncultured bacterium. Its description in RNAcentral is "contains 16S-23S intergenic spacer region". The record is from RNAcentral.